RNAcentral lists this ribosomal RNA (318 nucleotides) under uncultured bacterium. RNAcentral describes it as "bacterial SSU rRNA". It matches the Rfam family "Bacterial small subunit ribosomal RNA", at positions 28 to 334 of the family's 1533-position model. The record is from RNAcentral.
GAUGAACGCUAGCGGCAGGCUUAACACAUGCAAGUCGAGGGGCAGCAUGAGACGGAGAUUCGUCGAAGUCUUGAUGGCGACCGGCGCAAGGGUGCGUAACGCGUGAGCAACUUGCCCGUUUCAGGGGGAUAACCGGUGGAAACGCCGACUAAUACCCCAUAGUAUCAUUUUAAGGCAUCUUUUAGUGAUUAAAGAAUUUCGGAAACGGAUAGGCUCGCGUGACAUUAGCUAGAUGGUGAGGUAACGGCUCACCAUGGCGACGAUGUCUAGGGGUUCUGAGAGGAAGGUCCCCCACACUGGAACUGAGACACGGUCCAG